RNAcentral lists this ribosomal RNA (359 nucleotides) under uncultured Pseudomonadales bacterium. Its description in RNAcentral is "bacterial SSU rRNA". It matches the Rfam family "Bacterial small subunit ribosomal RNA", at positions 1 to 368 of the family's 1533-position model. Lineage: Bacteria; Pseudomonadati; Pseudomonadota; Gammaproteobacteria; Pseudomonadales. The record is from RNAcentral.
CUCGGAGUUUGAUCCUGGCUCAGAUUGAACGCUGGCGGCAGGCCUAACACAUGCAAGUCGAGCGGUUGACGGGAGCUUGCUCCCUGAUUCAGCGGCGGACGGGUGAGUAAUGCCUAGGAAUCUGCCUAUUAGUGGGGGACAACGUUUCGAAAGGAACGCUAAUACCGCAUACGUCCUACGGGAGAAAGCAGGGGACCUUCGGGCCUUGCGCUAAUAGAUGAGCCUAGGUCGGAUUAGCUAGUUGGUGAGGUAAAAGCUCACCAAGGCGACGAUCCGUAACUGGUCUGAGAGGAUGAUCAGUCACACUGGAACUGAGACACGGUCCAGACUCUACGGGAGCAGCAGUGGGGAAUAUGGAC